Molecule: long non-coding RNA, 1122 nt
Filed under: Oryzias javanicus (javanese ricefish)
Lineage: Eukaryota; Metazoa; Chordata; Actinopteri; Beloniformes; Adrianichthyidae
Description: lncRNA (ENSOJAG00000016204.1)
Source: RNAcentral
AUGCUACGGGACAGAAGACUACCGGCCUCACCGCCCCAUCCUGAGCCCCGGGACGGGGGUGGGGGGUGGGCCGGGGCAGAAACAUACCACUGCUGGGACAGGAGUUGGGGGAGUCUCAAACAGUGUAGAGAGAACAGGAGCGGGGAGCGGCUCUGGGGGGAACAGCAGCACCAACAACAGCGGUUCCUUCCUGGGCUCACUCUUCGGCAGCAAACGCGCCAAACCACCAGGGCCCCUUAUUCCACCGGGGCCACCCUACCCCGCGCCUGUCCCCCCACCGAAUACUGGCGGACCCCCUCCUCACUCCCCUUCAUCUCUAUGCCAGUUGGAGGGGGGGUCCUCCAAGAUCCAGGCCCUUCACGCACAAUACUGUCACGUGGGCAACGUACAGCCCCCACCACCUUAUUACCAUCACCAUCGCUACCACGUCCAAGCUGUCCCCCCGCCCCUGCAAGGCGUGCCCCCCCUUACCUUACAGAGAGGUACUCUACCAUGUCGACCACCGCUAGGCCCAGCGCUCGUCCAGCACCCGCAGCUGGCCCAUCUCUCCCAGCUCUCCCAGCAUGGGCCUCCGGUUCGCUACACCAACAUGGUGGUAGGAUGUCCCCCCCCUCUUUCUCCUCUCUCCCAACAUUCCCAGAACCCACAGUUCGCCAUGUACCACGCACAGCCCACACACUCUGUCAGAGGGAGCGGCGGCCCUGGUACCAAACCCCCUCUAACCUUGUCCCUCUCCCACCCCCACCCCCACGCACACUCCCAAACCCACCCCGGACACGCCCGCACACCACACCCUGUCAGCCACUCCACACACCAAACACACUUCAUAUUCGGCACGCUGCCCCACAACCUGCCGUCCGCCUCCGUCAGUGCGCAUCACGCAGCCUCCGCCGCCCCGUAUCUGCCCCAGUACCCUCCUCUCUCUUCCAUCCCCCUCCCCCACCACACUCCCCUUUACCCCCCCCUUCGUCCCCCCUUACCCCUCUUACACCUCUCUCCCCUCUCCCCCCCCAGCACCCCGGGCAGCCUCAGCAGGGGCCGCCGGCGACGGGGGCUGGAGCGACAGGUACAGGGGGCAGCUCCAAAUCCAAACCUAUCAACCGGAUAAGCACCGUGGUGUGA